UUGAAUAAGAAGCAAAAGCAGAAGAAAUUACACAAAAAAAAAAAAGAAGCAAAAAUAGAAGAAAAUCUGCUCAGCAUACAUCGUGCCACGAUGAGCAACUUGUGAGAGAUCGUCGCAUGAUGGGAUUGAUCGUGGCACGAUAGCACGCAAAAUCCAAGACCAUGAAACUCAAUAAAUAUUAAAUACUAAAUAGAGACCUUCACCCCAUAAUUUAGAACAUCUCAGAAUUGAAGAAGCAACUCAAGAAGGAAAUAGAGCAAGGAGCUCUCUAGGAAGACAAUCUCCACCAUUAGGAGUAGUUUUCUUAGCAUUUCAACUAAGUUAUCGUGUAUGCGUAAUUUUCUAACUCUUUUGUUAUGUUAGUUAUGCUUAUGGGUAACUAAUUACUUUAGGUUAUGUCGAGUAAAUGUAUUCCAUCGUGACACGGUGCAGUUGAGCUGAUUUUCUUCAAUUUUGUGUGUGUG
This 464-nucleotide long non-coding RNA is filed under the name Trifolium pratense (red clover). RNAcentral describes it as "long non-coding RNA (TPRA_LNC008930)". Lineage: Eukaryota; Viridiplantae; Streptophyta; Magnoliopsida; Fabales; Fabaceae. The record is from RNAcentral.